AUUGAACGCUGGCGGCAGGCUUAACACAUGCAAGUCGAGCGGAGUGAUGGUGCUUGCACUAUCACUUAGCGGCGGACGGGUGAGUAAUGCUUAGGAAUCUGCCUAUUAGUGGGGGACAACAUCUCGAAAGGGAUGCUAAUACCGCAUACGUCCUACGGGAGAAAGCAGGGGAUCACUUGUGACCUUGCGCUAAUAGAUGAGCCUAAGUCGGAGUAGCUAGUUGGUGGGGUAAAGGCCUACCAAGGCGACGAUCUGUAGCGGGUCUGAGAGGAUGAUCCGCCACACUGGGACUGAGACACGGCCCAGACUCCUACGGGAGGCAGCAGUGGGGAAUAUUGGACAAUGGGGGGAACCCUGAUCCAGCCAUGCCGCGUGUGUGAAGAAGGCCUUAUGGUUGUAAAGCACUUUAAGCGAGGAGGAGGCUUACCUAGUUAAUACCUGGGAUAAGUGGACGUUACUCGCAGAAUAAGCACCGGCUAACUCUGUGCCAGCAGCCGCCGUAA
RNAcentral lists this ribosomal RNA (503 nucleotides) under uncultured bacterium. RNAcentral's name for it is "partial 16S ribosomal RNA". It matches the Rfam family "Bacterial small subunit ribosomal RNA", at positions 30 to 523 of the family's 1533-position model. The record is from RNAcentral.